CGAACGCUGGCGGCGUGCUUAACACAUGCAAGUCGAACGGAAAGGCCCUGCUUUUGUGGGGUGCUCGAGUGGCGAACGGGUGAGUAACACGCGAGUAACCUGCCCUUGACUUUGGGAUAACUUCAGGAAACUGGGGCUAAUACCGGAUAGGAGCUCCUGCUGCAUGGUGGGGGUUGGAAAGUUUCGGCGGUUGGGGAUGGACUCGCGGCUUAUCAGCUUGUUGGUGGGGUAGUGGCUUACCAAGGCUUUGACGGGUAGCCGGCCUGAGAGGGUGACCGGCCACAUUGGGACUGAGAUACGGCCCAGACUCCUACGGGAGGCAGCAGUGGGGAAUAUUGCACAAUGGGCGGAAGCCUGAUGCAGCAACGCCGCGUGCGGGAUGACGGCCUUCGGGUUGUAAACCGCUUUCGCCUGUGACGAAGCGUGAGUGACGGUAAUGGGUAAAGAAGCACCGGCUAACUACGUG
RNAcentral lists this ribosomal RNA (466 nucleotides) under uncultured bacterium. RNAcentral's name for it is "partial 16S ribosomal RNA". It matches the Rfam family "Bacterial small subunit ribosomal RNA", at positions 30 to 507 of the family's 1533-position model. The record is from RNAcentral.